RNAcentral lists this ribosomal RNA (431 nucleotides) under uncultured bacterium. Its description in RNAcentral is "partial 16S ribosomal RNA". It matches the Rfam family "Bacterial small subunit ribosomal RNA", at positions 29 to 507 of the family's 1533-position model. The record is from RNAcentral.
AACGAACGCUGGCGGCAGGCCUAACACAUGCGAGUCGAGCGCCCCGCAAGGGGAGCGGCGGACGGGUGAGUAACGCGUGGGAAUAUGCCCUUUGCUACGGAAUAGUCUCGGGAAACUGGGGGUAAUACCGUAUACGCCCUUUGGGGGAAAGAUUUAUCGGCGAAGGAUUAGCCCGCGUUGGAUUAGGUAGUUGGUGGGGUAAUGGCCUGCCAAGCCGACGAUCCAUAGCUGGUUUGAGAGGAUGAUCAGCCACACUGGGACUGAGACACGGCCCAGACUCCUACGGGAGGCAGCAGUGGGGAAUCUUAGACAAUGGGGGCAACCCUGAUAUAGCCAUGCCGCGUGAGUGAUGAAGGCCUUAGGGUUGUAAAGCUCUUUCAGCUGGGAAGAUAAUGACGGUACCAGAAGAAGAAGCCCCGGCUAACUCCGUG